CAUAGGUUAAUGAGGCGAACCGGGGGAACUGAAACAUCUAAGUACCCCGAGGAAAAGAAAUCAACCGAGAUUCCCCCAGUAGCGGCGAGCGAACGGGGAGCAGCCCAGAGCCUGAAUCAGUAUGUGUGUUAGUGGAAGCGUCUGGAAAGGCGCGCGAUACAGGGUGACAGCCCCGUACACAAAAAUGCACAUGCUGUGAGCUCGAUGAGUAGGGCGGGACACGUGGUAUCCUGUCUGAAUAUGGGGGGACCAUCCUCCAAGGCUAAAUACUCCUGACUGACCGAUAGUGAACCAGUACCGUGAGGGAAAGGCGAAAAGAACCCCGGCGAGGGGAGUGAAAAAGAACCUGAAACCGUGUACGUACAAGCAGUGGGAGCACGCUUAGGCGUGUGACUGCGUACCUUUUGUAUAAUGGGUCAGCGACUUAUAUUCUGUAGCAAGGUUAACCGAAUAGGGGAGCCGAAGGGAAACCGAGUCUUAACUGGGCGUUAAGUUGCAGGGUAUAGACCCGAAACCCGGUGAUCUAGCCAUGGGCAGGUUGAAGGUUGGGUAACACUAACUGGAGGACCGAACCGACUAAUGUUGAAAAAUUAGCGGAUGACUUGUGGCUGGGGGUGAAAGGCCAAUCAAACCGGGAGAUAGCUGGUUCUCCCCGAAAGCUAUUUAGGUAGCGCCUCGUGAAUUCAUCUCCGGGGGUAGAGCACUGUUUCGGCAAGGGGGUCAUCCCGACUUACCAACCCGAUGCAAACUGCGAAUACCGGAGAAUGUUAUCACGGGAGACACACGGCGGGUGCUAACGUCCGUCGUGAAGAGGGAAACAACCCAGACCGCCAGCUAAGGUCCCAAAGUCAUGGUUAAGUGGGAAACGAUGUGGGAAGGCCCAGACAGCCAGGAUGUUGGCUUAGAAGCAGCCAUCAUUUAAAGAAAGCGUAAUAGCUCACUGGUCGAGUCGGCCUGCGCGGAAGAUGUAACGGGGCUAAACCAUGCACCGAAGCUGCGGCAGCGACGCUGAUGCGUUGUUGGGUAGGGGAGCGUUCUGUAAGCCUGCGAAGGUGUGCUGUGAGGCAUGCUGGAGGUAUCAGAAGUGCGAAUGCUGACAUAAGUAACGAUAAAGCGGGUGAAAAGCCCGCUCGCCGGAAGACCAAGGGUUCCUGUCCAACGUUAAUCGGGGCAGGGUGAGUCGACCCCUAAGGCGAGGCCGAAAGGCGUAGUCGAUGGGAAACAGGUUAAUAUUCCUGUACUUGGUGUUACUGCGAAGGGGGGACGGAGAAGGCUAUGUUGGCCGGGCGACGGUUGUCCCGGUUUAAGCGUGUAGGCUGGUUUUCCAGGCAAAUCCGGAAAAUCAAGGCU
Molecule: ribosomal RNA, 1350 nt
Filed under: Escherichia coli
Lineage: Bacteria; Pseudomonadati; Pseudomonadota; Gammaproteobacteria; Enterobacterales; Enterobacteriaceae
Also listed under: 2 other names
Description: partial 23S ribosomal RNA
Rfam family: Bacterial large subunit ribosomal RNA
Source: RNAcentral